RNAcentral lists this ribosomal RNA (468 nucleotides) under uncultured bacterium. Its description in RNAcentral is "partial 16S ribosomal RNA". It matches the Rfam family "Bacterial small subunit ribosomal RNA", at positions 28 to 507 of the family's 1533-position model. The record is from RNAcentral.
GACGAACGCUGGCGGCGUGCUUAACACAUGCAAGUCGAACGGAAAGGCCCUGCUUUUGUGGGGUGCUCGAGUGGCGAACGGGUGAGUAACACGUGAGUAACCUGCCCUUGACUUUGGGAUAACUUCAGGAAACUGGGGCUAAUACCGGAUAGGAGCUCCUGCUGCAUGGUGGGGGUUGGAAAGUUUCGGCGGUUGGGGAUGGACUCGCGGCUUAUCAGCUUGUUGGUGGGGUAGUGGCUUACCAAGGCUUUGACGGGUAGCCGGCCUGAGAGGGUGACCGGCCACAAUGGGACUAAGAUACGGCCCAGACUGCUACGGGAGGCAGCAGUGGGGAAUAUUGCACAAUGGGCGGAAGCCUGAUGCAGCAACGCCGCGUGCGGGAUGACGGCCUUCGGGUUGUAAACCGCUUUCGCCUGUGACGAAGCGUGAGUGACGGUAAUGGGUAAAGAAGCACCGGCUAACUACGCG